GACGAACGCUGGCGGCGUGCCUAAUACAUGCAAGUAGAACGCUGAAGGAGGAGCUUGCUUCUCUGGAUGAGUUGCGCACGGGUGAGUAACGCGUAGGUAACCUGCCUGUUAGCGGGGGAUAACUCUUGGAAACGCUAGCUAAUACCGCAUAAUAGCAGUUAUUGCAUGAUAACUGUUUGAAAGGUGCAAUUGCACCACUACCAGAUGGACCUGCGUUGUAUUAGCUAGUUGGUGGGGUAACGGCUCACCAAGGCGACGAUACAUAGCCGACCUGAGAGGGUGAUCGGCCACACUGGGACUGAGACACGGCCCAGACUCCUACGGGAGGCAGCAGUAGGGAAUCUUCGGCAAUGGACGGGAGUCUGACCGGGCAACGCCGCGUGAGUGAAGAAGGUUUUCGGAUCGUAAAGCUCUGUUGUAAGAGAAGAACGAGUGUGAGAGUGGAAAGUUCACACUGUGACGGUAUCUUACCAGAAAGGGACGGCUAACUACGUG
Molecule: ribosomal RNA, 495 nt
Filed under: uncultured bacterium
Lineage: Bacteria
Description: partial 16S ribosomal RNA
Rfam family: Bacterial small subunit ribosomal RNA
Source: RNAcentral